RNAcentral lists this transfer RNA (65 nucleotides) under Munidopsis verrilli. RNAcentral's name for it is "tRNA-Ser". The record is from RNAcentral. Lineage: Eukaryota; Metazoa; Arthropoda; Malacostraca; Decapoda; Munidopsidae.
AGAGAUUUAUGCCAAAAAAGAAGCUUCUAACUUUUAGUUAAGCGGUUAAAUUCCGUUGAUGUCUC